This 363-nucleotide transfer-messenger RNA is filed under the name Salmonella enterica. It matches the Rfam family "transfer-messenger RNA". From Rfam's summary of the family: Bacterial tmRNA, also known as 10Sa RNA or SsrA, is named for its dual tRNA and mRNA-like properties. Its role is to liberate the mRNA from a stalled ribosome. Lineage: Bacteria; Pseudomonadati; Pseudomonadota; Gammaproteobacteria; Enterobacterales; Enterobacteriaceae. The record is from RNAcentral.
GGGGCUGAUUCUGGAUUCGACGGGAUUUGCGAAACCCAAGGUGCAUGCCGAGGGGCGGUUGGCCUCGUAAAAAGCCGCAAAAAAAUAGUCGCAAACGACGAAAACUACGCUUUAGCAGCUUAAUAACCUGCUUAGAGCCCUCUCUCCCUAGCCUCCGCUCUUAGGACGGGGAUCAAGAGAGGUCAAACCCAAAAGAGAUCGCGCGGAUGCCCUGCCUGGGGUUGAGGCGUUAAAACGAAUCAGGCUAGUCUGGUAGUGGCGUGUCCGUCCGCAGGUGCCAGGCGAAUGUAAAGACUGACUAAGCAUGUAGUACCGAGGAUGUAAGAAUUUCGGACGCGGGUUCAACUCCCGCCAGCUCCACCA